Non-coding RNA from Podarcis lilfordi (Lilford's wall lizard), 64 nucleotides. NCBI's taxonomy places the organism in Eukaryota, Metazoa, Chordata, Lepidosauria, Squamata, Lacertidae. The record is from the annotation of a GenBank genome assembly.
ACACACACACACACACACAUAUAUAUAUAUAUGUAUGUAUAUGUGUGUGUGUGUGUGUGUGUGU